AACGUAGGUCACAAGCGUUAUCCGGAUUUAUUGGGUGUAAAGGGUGCGUAGACGGGACAACAAGUUAGUUGUGAAAUCCCUCGGCUUAACUGAGGAACUGCAACUAAAACUAUUGUUCUUGAGUGUUGGAGAGGAAAGUGGAAUUCCUAGUGUAGCGGUGAAAUGCUUAGAUAUCACGAAGAACUCCGAUUGCGAAGGCAGCACACUAAGCCGUAACUGACGUUCAUGCUCGAAAGUGUGGGUAUCAAACAGG
This 253-nucleotide ribosomal RNA is filed under the name Phocaeicola plebeius DSM 17135. RNAcentral describes it as "partial 16S ribosomal RNA". It matches the Rfam family "Bacterial small subunit ribosomal RNA", at positions 524 to 776 of the family's 1533-position model. Lineage: Bacteria; Pseudomonadati; Bacteroidota; Bacteroidia; Bacteroidales; Bacteroidaceae. The record is from RNAcentral.